Molecule: long non-coding RNA, 341 nt
Organism: Populus euphratica (Euphrates poplar)
Lineage: Eukaryota; Viridiplantae; Streptophyta; Magnoliopsida; Malpighiales; Salicaceae
Exons: 3
Source: RefSeq, a predicted model, not a curated record
UUACCCCCCCUCUCACCUAACCCUAACAAACUACCAGUGCACCCGCCACCCCCUCUCCCUCUCUACUAACCCUAACAACUUCACAAGAGCCUACCCCAUAACCUAGUACUAGAGGCUCUCCCUCUUGCCUCUCCAAAAUAUUUUAGCCUAUCGAACAAGUUCUUGAGAGAAUUUUCAGGCAAGUUCUUUCAUUCAGUACAAGUACAUCAUAGAAGCAUCAAUGGAGGUCAACGAGAGCUUUUCAAAUGACAUGGAUGAUGGAUAUGAGAAACUCUUUAGGAGAUUGAAUCCACCCAGAGUUGUGAUUGAUAAUGAAGAUUGCAACUUGCAAAAAUGCUACU